CUUCUCAGCAGUACCAGCUAUAUCACCGCUGCUUUUAUGCUUGCUUCUGGACAUCCUGGGCUUGAAAUAAAGAUACUAUACUACUGUAGUCUAUAUAAA
Molecule: long non-coding RNA, 99 nt
Organism: Balaenoptera musculus (blue whale)
Lineage: Eukaryota; Metazoa; Chordata; Mammalia; Artiodactyla; Balaenopteridae
Exons: 4
Source: RefSeq, a predicted model, not a curated record